RNAcentral lists this ribosomal RNA (904 nucleotides) under uncultured bacterium. Its description in RNAcentral is "bacterial SSU rRNA". It matches the Rfam family "Bacterial small subunit ribosomal RNA", at positions 11 to 915 of the family's 1533-position model. The record is from RNAcentral.
GUUGAUCCCUGGCUCAGGAUUAACGCUAGCGGCAGGCAUAAUACAUGCAAGUUGAACGGGAUAAGUUUAGCAAUAGACUUUGAGAGUGGCGCACGGGUGCGUAACACGUAUGCAACCUGCCCUUGACUGGAGAAUAGCCUCUCGAAAGAGAGAUUAAUGUUCCGUAACAUAAUGGUAGAGCAUUCUAUUAUUAUCAAAGCUCCGGCGGUCAAGGAUGGGCAUGCGGUUGAUUAGCUAGUUGGUGAGGUAACGGCUCACCAAGGCGACGAUCAAUAGGGGGUCUGAGAGGAUGUCCCCCCACACUGGUACUGAGACACGGACCAGACUCCUACGGGAGGCAGCAGUAGGGAAUAUUGGACAAUGGAGGCAACUCUGAUCCAGCCAUGCCGCGUGCAGGAAGACUGCCCUAUGGGUUGUAAACUGCUUUUGUACGGGAAGAAACCCAUCUACGGGUAGGUGGUUGACGGUACCGUAAGAAUAAGGAUCGGCUAACUUCGUGCCAGCAGCCGCGGUAAUACGAAGGAUCCAAGCGUUGUCCGGAUUUACUGGGUUUAAAGGGAGCGUAGGCGGUCUAAUAAGUCAGUGGUGAAAGCCUUCAGCUUAACUGAAGAAUUGCCAUUGAAACUGCUAGACUCGAGUAUGGUUGAGGUCACUGGAAUGUAACAUGUAGCGGUGAAAUGCAUAGAUAUGUUACAGAACACCAAUUGCGAAGGCAGGUGACUAAGCCAUAACUGACGCUGAGGCUCGAAAGCGUGGGGAGCAAACAGGAUUAGAUACCCUGGUAGUCCACGCCCUAAACUAUGAAUACUCGGUCUUGGCGAUAUACAGUUCAGGGCCCAAGCGAAAGCGUUAAGUAUUCCACCUGGAAGUACGUUCGCAAGAAUGAAACUCAAAGGAAUUGACG